UAAUGUCCCAACUAGAGGUCUGGGUUUGAGUUAAUGUCCUACUAGAGAUCUGGGUUUGGGGUAAUGUCCUCCUAGAGCUUUGGGUUUGGGGUAAUGUCCUACUAGAGCUUUGGGUUUGGGGGUAAUGUCCUACUAGAGUGUUGGGGUAAUGUCCUAUUAUAGGUCUGGUUUUGAGUUACUUUUCUACUAGAGAUCUGGGUUUCGAGUAAUGUCCUACUAGAGGUUUGGGGUAAUGUCCUACUAGAGAUCUGGGUUUGAGUUACUGUCCUACUAGAGCUCUGGGUUUGGGGUAAUGUCCUACUAGAGCUCUGGGUUUGGGGUAAUGUCCUACUAGAGCUCUGGGUUUGGAGUAAUGUCCUACUAGAGGUCUGGGUUUGGGGUAAUGUCCUACUAGAGGUCUGGGUUUGAGUUAAUGUCCUGCUAGAGAUCUGUGUUUGGUGUAAUAUCCUACUAGAGGUUUGAGUUUACUGUCCUACUAGAGCUCUGGGUUUGGAGUAAUGUCCUACUAGAGCUCUGGGUUUGGAUUACUGUCCUACUAGAGCUCUGGGUUUGGAGUAAUGUCCUACUAGAGAUCUGGGUUUGGAGUAAUGUCCUACUAGAUAUCUAGGUUUGGGGUAAUGUCCUAAUAGAGGUUUGGGGUAAUGUCCUACUAGAGGUCUGGGUUGGGGUAAUGUCCUACUAGAGGGUUGGGUUUGGGGUAAUGUCCUACAUUACUUUAUCGAACAAAACAUACAUGUAUUUUGUAACAUGAAGUCCUAUGAGUCUCACCUGAUGAAGAUCAUCAAAGGUUAGUGAUUAAUUUUCUCUAUUUCUGCUUUUUGUGACUCCUCUUUGACUGGAAAAAUGGCUGUGUUUUUCUGUGACUUGGCGCUGACCAUGGUAUGCUUUCGUCGUAAAGCCUUUUUGAAAUCGGACACUGUGGUGGGAUUAACAACAAGUUUAUCUUUAAAAUGGUGUAUAAUACAUGUAUGUUUGAGGAAUUGUAUUUAUGAGAUUAUGUUGUUUGAAUUUGCCAUCCUGCACUUUCACUGGCUGUUGUCAAAUCGUAAGAAGUUUUAAUUUCCUGCUAGAGGUCUGGGUUUGGGGAAAAUGUCCUACUAGAGCUUUGGGUUUGGUAAUGUCCUACUAAAGCUUUCGGAUUGGGGUAAUGUCCAACUAGAGGUCUGGGUUUGGG
Molecule: long non-coding RNA, 1174 nt
Organism: Oncorhynchus tshawytscha (Chinook salmon)
Lineage: Eukaryota; Metazoa; Chordata; Actinopteri; Salmoniformes; Salmonidae
Source: Ensembl